Molecule: unclassified non-coding RNA, 269 nt
Filed under: uncultured Backusella
Lineage: Eukaryota; Fungi; Mucoromycota; Mucoromycetes; Mucorales; Backusellaceae
Description: sequence contains ITS2
Source: RNAcentral
CGACCCCACGCCCACAUAUUUAUUUGUUUGGGCGGAAUUGACCGACUGGGUGGAAUGAUCUAGCCUCACGGCUGGGUGAAUGCUUAGUCAGUUCAAGUUUUCUAAAAGGCUAAGUCUGUCUUCCAUAAGUGGGCACACAUAUUCCUUAUAUCCUUUUGAAAUUAAAACCCUCAAAAAGACAUUAGAAUAUCCAUGGGACUGGGCGACAAUUUUUAUAGACUUUGGCUGAAACCAAAUGAGAUUACCCUUUUUUAGGGUACUCUCUUCAU